Molecule: long non-coding RNA, 1835 nt
Organism: Glossina fuscipes
Lineage: Eukaryota; Metazoa; Arthropoda; Insecta; Diptera; Glossinidae
Exons: 3
Source: RefSeq, a predicted model, not a curated record
CUUGCUUUGUAUAUUUGCAAUUAAGAUCUAGAACACAUAAACAUAUCCCCAAAGGACAGAAAUCUGUAACUAACUAAUCAUAGCAAACGUUGAACCAAAGUUUUGAUCAAAAAUCAUACCUUACUGCUGCAUAAAUGGUGCAGGCAGAAAUGUUCUCUGCAUAUUGAAAAAUGUCGAUUCUUUGAGAGAUGAGGUCUUAAGAUACAGGAUUGAGUACUUAUUGAUAGGUAUGUUUUUUUUUGAGGCCAACUUUAAUCUAUUGAAAUGUGUGGUUGUGUUGUUUAUGAGAACAUAUUUGAAAAUAAUAUGAGGAUAUGUUGAGAUAUAACGGCUGUAUGCAGCAAGCAUUACGCUUAUAAAGAAAACUCUAUUAACAGUCAUGUUUCUCAUCGAAGAUAGAUGAGAUUUGUGUUACACCAUAUACGCAGACUGCGCUCUUUCAUCGGAUUCUUUGCUUCAAUUCAUUGCGUUUAAGUUAAGGAAAGGAAACAAGUGCAUUGAUCCGAUUGGCUGCAAACUUCAGCAUUUGUGCAUAGACGUACAUCAAGACGACUAAACAAACUUUGGUAGAGACUUGAGAAAGUUUUUUAACCAAAAAAGAAAAUAAAAGAUCUGGACGUGAAGAUUUUUAUUUAUAUUUUCUUUUUUUUGUUCCUGAGCACAUAAGGUAUGUAUGUGUGAAGGACAUAUUGAUAAUACGUUGUAUCUUCGCAGGUACGCGUUUAGUUUAGCAUUGCAAUCGUAAGUUUUAUGUAGCGAACGUGUCUAACAAAACUUUACGUGAUUGUAUGGAAAAAGUCUAUGCGCUCGUGUACGCAAAAGUACAAAGGCUUAAAGUAUCAAACAUUGUCACGUUUAUCAAUAUGUGCGUGCUGUCUGUAAUAGAAUGCAGUAAAAGCGUUAAUAGGAUCGAUACAAGUGCACACGCACGAAAUUUCGAUUUAAAAAUUGUUGCUAUAUAAAAAUAGUAUCUAUCAGUGUACAGGGAAAUGAUUUCCAUGCUUGAAUCUUGAUACUUCAUCGAUUUUCGAAGUUAUCUCUAAUCCUGACAACCUUCGGUUUACCUGCACUUCAUAACGUUAUAAGAGAGAGAGAUAUGUUUCCGAAUACAAUGGAAGCCUAAAGCAGAUGGUGACAGGGGAUAUCAUUAAAAAAAUCCUAAAUAUUAUUUUCGCUAAUCGACUUGUAAAUUUGCAAACAACAACUUUUAUCUCAAAAUCAUGAAAAGGACGUAUAGUAAAUUUGGGCACGACAGACUUGUUUUCCAAACGGAUGGCGGGCUUACUCUCUGUGGAAUAAAAAUCUCAGCACGUUACUGAUGGGAAAAUUACAUGAGUUGAUGUUCAAAUUGCUACCCCAUCUAUCGGGUUCUCACGAUCGGCUUGCAAACCUACCAAAGAAUGAUGAUACGGAUGAGAGAAAAGACUUCGAUCGAAUUAUGCAAACUGAAACAUGUUUUGAAGAUCUUAGACAAGUCGUUUUAUAAAAAAAGUUUUCGAAAUGUUGGAGAAAUGUUGGGCUGUUGUUAAUAUCACUCCGUUAAUGCGUACAAUUGAAUUUUGCUAACAAAAAGAAGGUUUUCAUAUCACUGCCUCCCGGGAAUUAUUAAAACUUGUACUUCUUUAUGCAUUUGCGGCAACCAUUUAAAAGCCAUAAAUCACAUUUAUUCCGUAACUGUUUUAAAAAUAAACAUAUACAAGUAAGAAAGUUAUAUUCGAGGGGGGGAGGGGCCCGCAUCACGCAUACCCACCCCUAUGCUUUUCGCAUCCUACUCUCCAAGUUUCUUUAUUUGGUACCCAUAUCGCUAGUAUUAUUAAAAAAAAAUUAAUCGCAUU